RNAcentral lists this ribosomal RNA (443 nucleotides) under uncultured bacterium. RNAcentral describes it as "partial 16S ribosomal RNA". It matches the Rfam family "Bacterial small subunit ribosomal RNA", at positions 338 to 795 of the family's 1533-position model. The record is from RNAcentral.
CCUACGGGAGGCAGCAGUGGGGAAUAUUGGGCAAUGGAGGCAACUCUUACCCAGCAAUGCCGCGUGAAUGAAGAAGGUCUUCGGAUUGUAAAGUUCUUUAAUUGGGGACGAAAAAAAUGACGGUACCCAAGGAAUAAGCCCCGGCUAACUACGUGCCAGCAGCCGCGGUAAUACGUAGGGGGCAAGCGUUGUUCGGAAUGACUGGGCGUAAAGGGUGUGUAGGCGGUAUGGUAAGCCAGAUGUGAAAGCCUUGGGCUUAACCCGAGGAUUGCAUUUGGAACUAUCAAGCUAGAGUACAGGAGAGGAAAGCGGAAUUCCUAGUGUAGCGGUGAAAUGCGUAGAUAUUAGGAAGAACACCAGUGGCGAAGGCGGCUUUCUGGACUGAAACUGACGCUGAGGCACGAAAGCGUGGGGAGCGAACAGGAUUAGAUACCCGAGUAGUC